GAAGGUUGGGUAACACUAACUGGAGGACCGAACCGACUAAUGUUGAAAAAUUAGCGGAUGACCUGUGGCUGGGGGUGAAAGGCCAAUCAAACCGGGAGAUAGCUGGUUCUCCCCGAAAGCUAUUUAGGUAGCGCCUCGUGAAUUCAUCUCCGGGGGUAGAGCACUGUUUCGGCUAGGGGGCCAUCCCGGCUUACCAACCCGAUGCAAACUGCGAAUACCGGAGAAUGUUAUCACGGGAGACACACGGCGGGUGCUAACGUCCGUCGUGAAGAGGGAAACAACCCAGACCGCCAGCUAAGGUCCCAAAGUCAUGGUUAAGUGGGAAACGAUGUGGGAAGGCCCAGACAGCCAGGAUGUUGGCUUAGAAGCAGCCAUCAUUUAAAGAAAGCGUAAUAGCUCACUGGUCGAGUCGGCCUGCGCGGAAGAUGUAACGGGGCUAAACCAUGCACCGAAGCUGCGGCAGCGACACUGUGUGUUGUUGGGUAGGGGAGCGUUCUGUAAGCCUGUGAAGGUGUGUCGUGAGGCAUGCUGGAGGUAUCAGAAGUGCGAAUGCUGACAUAAGUAACGAUAAAGCGGGUGAAAAGCCCGCUCGCCGGAAGACCAAGGGUUCCUGUCCAACGUUAAUCGGGGCAGGGUGAGUCGACCCCUAAGGCGAGGCCGAAAGGCGUAGUCGAUGGGAAACGGGUUAAUAUUCCCGUACUUGGUGUUACUGCGAAGGGGGGACGGAGAAGGCUAUGUUGGCCGGGCGACGGUUGUCCCGGUUUAAGCGUGUAGGUGUGUGUUCCAGGUAAAUCCGGUUCACUUUAACACUGAGGCGUGACGACGAGGCACUACGGUGCUGAAGCAACAAAUGCCCUGCUUCCAGGAAAAGCCUCUAAGCAUCAGGUAACAUCAAAUCGUACCCCAAACCGACACAGGUGGUCAGGUAGAGAAUACCAAGGCGCUUGAGAGAACUCGGGUGAAGGAACUAGGCAAAAUGGUGCCGUAACUUCGGGAGAAGGCACGCUGACACGUAGGUGAAGUGAUUUACUCAUGGAGCUGAAGUCAGUCGAAGAUACCAGCUGGCUGCAACUGUUUAUUAAAAACACAGCACUGUGCAAACACGAAAGUGGACGUAUACGGUGUGACGCCUGCCCGGUGCCGGAAGGUUAAUUGAUGGGGUCAGCGCAAGCGAAGCUCCUGAUCGAAGCCCCGGUAAACGGCGGCCGUAACUAUAACGGUCCUAAGGUAGCGAAAUUCCUUGUCGGGUAAGUUCCGACCUGCACGAAUGGCGUAAUGAUGGCCAGGCUGUCUCCACCCGAGACUCAGUGAAAUUGAACUC
This 1321-nucleotide ribosomal RNA is filed under the name Salmonella enterica subsp. enterica serovar Enteritidis. RNAcentral's name for it is "partial 23S ribosomal RNA". It matches the Rfam family "Bacterial large subunit ribosomal RNA", at positions 747 to 2049 of the family's 2925-position model. Lineage: Bacteria; Pseudomonadati; Pseudomonadota; Gammaproteobacteria; Enterobacterales; Enterobacteriaceae. The record is from RNAcentral.